AGGCUAUUCCAUGGAUUCUAUCAGAUCAUCUGCCAAUAGAGAAUGAUUUCAUGCAAGAUCUUUUAAUUUCCAGCUUCGUGAGUACUAUCACCUCUCAGUCCUUUGAAUAGGAGGAAACUGAGGCCCAGAAAAGUUAAGUGAUACCCAAGAAGUUGGUAAGUGGGACACUUGGGAAUUGUUGAUACACAUUUAAUAAACUCUCAGGGUUGAAGAGACUGUAACAUUUCGGUUCCUUAGAUCACUGCUAUAACACACACCCACUGUGGCUAAUGAAAUUUCUGCUUGAA
Non-coding RNA from Leptonychotes weddellii (Weddell seal), 287 nucleotides. The record is from RefSeq and is a predicted model, not a curated record. Lineage: Eukaryota; Metazoa; Chordata; Mammalia; Carnivora; Phocidae.